CCUUCUUUAGUAAACUGAAUGCUUUGAGCUCACCGAUAAUAAAUGGCAUUUUGGCCCCAUAAAUAAGGACUUCUAAGUAUUACGUGGCAUAUAUAAAGGGAGAUUACAUGAUAAGUCACCUCAUCGAUAAACUAACUGAUAACAGCAAAUCCAAAAGUACAUUGUUGAUUAACUUGAUGUCCUAAAUCUUUGUGAAUCCAACCUAACAAG
RNAcentral lists this long non-coding RNA (210 nucleotides) under Carica papaya (papaya). RNAcentral's name for it is "long non-coding RNA (CPAP_LNC012977)". The record is from RNAcentral. Lineage: Eukaryota; Viridiplantae; Streptophyta; Magnoliopsida; Brassicales; Caricaceae.